Picea glauca (white spruce) is the source of this 121-nucleotide non-coding RNA. Lineage: Eukaryota; Viridiplantae; Streptophyta; Pinopsida; Pinales; Pinaceae. The record is from Rfam.
ACAUGCCUACAACAUAACAUUAAUUCAUAGGAUCCCAUUAUAACUCCAUAGUUAAGCACGCUCAAGCUAGAGUAGUACUAGGAUAGGUGACUAUCCGGGAUGUCCUAGUGUUUUACAUGCC